UUAACCUACGGGGCGCAGCAGUGGGGGAUAUUGCACAAUGGGGGAAACCCUGAUGCAGCGACGCCGCGUGGGUGAAGAAGCGCCUCGGCGCGUAAAGCGCUGUCAGCAGGGAAGAAAAUGACGGUACCUGAAGAAGAAGCCCCGGCUAACUACGUGCCAGCAGCCGCGGUAAUACGUAGGGGGCAAGCGUUAUCCGGAUUUACUGGGUGUAAAGGGGGCGCAGACGGCGAUGCAAGCCAGGAGUGAAAGCCCGGGGCCCAACCCCGGGACUGCUCGUGGAACUGCGUGGCUAGAGCGCAGGAGGG
This 305-nucleotide ribosomal RNA is filed under the name uncultured bacterium. RNAcentral describes it as "bacterial SSU rRNA". It matches the Rfam family "Bacterial small subunit ribosomal RNA", at positions 334 to 656 of the family's 1533-position model. The record is from RNAcentral.